This 254-nucleotide ribosomal RNA is filed under the name uncultured bacterium. RNAcentral's name for it is "partial 16S ribosomal RNA". It matches the Rfam family "Bacterial small subunit ribosomal RNA", at positions 524 to 776 of the family's 1533-position model. The record is from RNAcentral.
UACGGGGGGAGCAAGCGUUGUUCGGAUUUACUGGGCGUAAAGGGCGCGUAGGCGGUCGUGACAAGUCACUUGUGAAAUCUCCGGGCUUAACUCGGAACGGUCAAGUGAUACUGUCGGACUAGAGUACAGAAGGGGCAACUGGAAUUCUCGGUGUAGCGGCGAAAUGCGUAGAUAUCGAGAGGAACACCUGCGGCGAAGGCGGGUUGCUGGGCUGAUACUGACGCUGAGGCGCGAAAGCCAGGGGAGCGAACGGG